GGAUGAACGCUAGCGGCAGGCUUAAUACAUGCAAGUCGAGGGGUAACAUGGUAGUGAUACUGAUGACGACCGGCAAACGGGUGCGCAACACGUACAGAACCUUCCUUUAAGCGGGGGAUAGCCCAUAGAAAUGUGGAUUAAUACCCCAUGGUAUUAUCAGGUGGCAUCAUUUGAUAAUUAAAGAUUUAUUACUUAGAGAUGGCUGUGCGUCUGAUUAGGUAGNGGUUGGGUAAUGGCCCACCAAGCCUUCGAUCAGUAACUGGUGUGAG
RNAcentral lists this ribosomal RNA (269 nucleotides) under uncultured bacterium. RNAcentral's name for it is "partial 16S ribosomal RNA". It matches the Rfam family "Bacterial small subunit ribosomal RNA", at positions 27 to 296 of the family's 1533-position model. The record is from RNAcentral.